Molecule: ribosomal RNA, 324 nt
Filed under: Triticum aestivum (bread wheat)
Lineage: Eukaryota; Viridiplantae; Streptophyta; Magnoliopsida; Poales; Poaceae
Description: partial small subunit ribosomal RNA
Source: RNAcentral
CUCGCUGUCCUCGGUUAUUCAGAGAGUCUAGCGAAUCUGUACACUGCAGAACUUCGGGCCAAAUGGCUGCCGCAUUUCAAUGAUGGUGGAUUCAGAUUACCAAGUGUUAAAGCGAUGCAGAGUGAUAUCCUUGAGUGGGAGAAGUUCAUGAAGCGCUAUUCUCGUGUCUUCUUCCGGACGCCCUGUAUUGGACUUCAUCACAUCUGGUACAAUGAUCAACUGUGCUAUGACAUGGGAUGCAACCCGAGAAGGAAGAAUGCCAUUUUCGCUGAAUUAUUUGAGGUAUAUGGUCCCUGCGAUUAUGUCAAUCUUCAUCCCAAGUAA